Molecule: ribosomal RNA, 380 nt
Filed under: uncultured eukaryote
Lineage: Eukaryota
Description: partial 18S ribosomal RNA
Rfam family: Eukaryotic small subunit ribosomal RNA
Source: RNAcentral
CAAUAGCGUAUAUUAAAGUUGUUGCAGUUAAAAAGCUCGUAGUUGGAUUUGUGGCGUACGGUGUGUUCCGGGCACUUGUUGUCUGAGUAACCUGCUGUUGCCAUCCUUGGGUGGAACCUGUGUGGCAUUAGGUUGUCGUGCAGGGGAUGCCCAUCAUUUACUGUGAAAAAAUUAGAGUGUUCAAAGCAGGCUUAUGCCGUUGAAUAUAUUAGCAUGGAAUAAUGAGAUAGGACUUUUUUGCUAUUUUGUUGGUUUGCGCAAGAAGGUAAUGAUUAAUAGGGACAGUUGGGGGUAUUCGUAUUCCAUUGUCAGAGGUGAAAUUCUUGGAUUUUUGGAAGACGAACUACUGCGAGAGCAUUUACCAAGGAUGUUUUCAUUAA